UAAGACGAAGGGUGCUAGCGUUGUUCGGAUUGACUGGGCGUAAAGGGCGCGUAGGCGGUUUUUUAAGUUAGGCGUGAAAGCCCUGGGCUUAACCCAGGACGUGCGUUUAAGACUGGAAAACUUGAGAUUGGAAGAGGAAAGUGGAAUUCCUAGUGUAGAGGUGAAAUUCGUAGAUAUUAGGAAGAACACCAGUGGCGAAGGCGACUUUCUGGUCCAAUACUGACGCUGAGGCGCGAAAGUGUGGGGAGCAAACAGG
This 256-nucleotide ribosomal RNA is filed under the name uncultured bacterium. Its description in RNAcentral is "partial 16S ribosomal RNA". It matches the Rfam family "Bacterial small subunit ribosomal RNA", at positions 521 to 776 of the family's 1533-position model. The record is from RNAcentral.